Non-coding RNA from Hypoxylon fuscum, 114 nucleotides. Lineage: Eukaryota; Fungi; Ascomycota; Sordariomycetes; Xylariales; Hypoxylaceae. The record is from the annotation of a GenBank genome assembly.
GGCUUGGUAACGUAGUGGUAGCGCAUUCCACCAUUGCGCGCUUCUGAGUGGCAAACGGGCUCAGAGGAGAUGUCGAGGUGGGAAACGCUGUGGGUUUGAAUCCCACCCGGGCCU